UUAAGUUCAGCGGGUAUUCCUACCUGAUCCGAGGUCAACCUUGUAAAAAUAGGGUUGAGACAAGAGUGGUUGGCCACGUCAAUGCGUGCUAUUGAAAGCUCGUUGCAUCUAGGGUCCAACACGACUCUGUCAUUAUCUUUGGGACCCGUCUGAUUACCGACGAAUGGUCCAACAGCAAGCCAGGCUUGAGGGUUGAUAAU
RNAcentral lists this unclassified non-coding RNA (200 nucleotides) under Chaetothyriales sp. RNAcentral describes it as "partial internal transcribed spacer 2". The record is from RNAcentral. Lineage: Eukaryota; Fungi; Ascomycota; Eurotiomycetes; Chaetothyriales.